CAGGAAAUAGUUUAAUUAAAAUAUUAAUUUUGGGGAUUAAAGAUAGGGUUUGGAACUUUUUUCCUGA
RNAcentral lists this transfer RNA (67 nucleotides) under Panulirus stimpsoni (Chinese spiny lobster). Its description in RNAcentral is "tRNA-Pro". RNAcentral also lists the same sequence under 1 other name. The record is from RNAcentral. Lineage: Eukaryota; Metazoa; Arthropoda; Malacostraca; Decapoda; Palinuridae.